CGGGCUACUCCAAUGGGUCGGCUUAAGACCGAUCUCCUGAUGACAUUAUGCAUGCUCCGCUCGUCAAAUCUCCACAACUCGUACAAGUUUUCACAAAUUAGGGCCCAACCCGGCCCCCAUACCUAGACUCCGAUGUCUAGCUGAGAAAGUGACUUCGGCCGCGAGUGUAUCAGCCGAACACAGAUACCAAGGCAAUCUUUAAAGACCCUAGCCUUGCUCACCGAAACUUCGGCAAAGCCCGAGAACGAUAACUAUGAAAACCUUCGGCGAUAAUUCGACUAUUAGCCCGCGCUCCCUACGAAGGACCCGGGAGUCGAGUUCGGAAACCCUACUAGACUCCCCGUAUAGCGGCACGAACAGACCUAGCCCGGUCUUACUUGAAGGGCUAAGGCCCGACCCCGAUGCCUUUAAGAACCUAAAGGCCAGGCAUGGCAACUCCUGCGAUUCUAAGAUCCGAGUUAUAGGACUUGGAAGAAUUUUCUAAAAAACCUGGUGAUGAGAGUACAAAAGUAUAAUUUUUAUAUUAUCUUAAUUAGUAUUAUAGUUAAUUUUUAUUAAUAAAAUUAAUUAAUUAAUGUUUUAUUUGUGUUUGAGUGAAAUUAAUCCAAGAACUCUGGAUUUGAGCCCAAUGCCUGGCAGCCUGAAGCCAUCUUUUUCUUCAAGCUGUUAGCUAGACUUCGAUCAGCGUUGGAUGCUAUUAUCCCUCUGAUUUUACUUUUUAGGAACUAAAGGUGUUCACUAGAAUUUAUGCACGUAGGGAAGCAGGCACCUAACAUGAAUCAUAUCUCGCAGUUGGCCGAAGAAAAGGUCCUUCCGUAUUCAUCUCUGACAUUGACAAAGCUGAACUUACUUGGAUGACUGUUCUCCAUUGUUU
This 874-nucleotide long non-coding RNA is filed under the name Phoenix dactylifera (date palm). RNAcentral's name for it is "long non-coding RNA (PDAC_LNC008887)". Lineage: Eukaryota; Viridiplantae; Streptophyta; Magnoliopsida; Arecales; Arecaceae. The record is from RNAcentral.